UUUUAUGAUGACACGAACACAUUUUGUUUUAUUUUGGCACCUCUUAUGUUAGGCCUCCUUCGGGUGGUCAAUGAAUGGACCGGACUUCUGAUC
Molecule: small nucleolar RNA, 93 nt
Filed under: Trichoderma reesei QM6a
Lineage: Eukaryota; Fungi; Ascomycota; Sordariomycetes; Hypocreales; Hypocreaceae
Description: A. fumigatus snoRNA Afu_264
Rfam family: A. fumigatus snoRNA Afu_264
Source: Rfam by way of RNAcentral